UAACAAUUAGUCAUUCUAUUUUCGUACUGAUUAAACUUCCAUUUUUAAUAAAAUGUAUUGAUUUUACGAUUAUAGAAGGAAUAUACAUUUUUGUUAAAAAUGAAAAUAUAGGCUGGGUGCAGUGGCUCAUGCCCUUAAUCCCAGCAUUUUGGGAGGCAGAGAUAGGCAGAUCACUUGAGGUGAGGAGUUCGAGACCAGCCUGACCAUCAUGGUGAAACCCUGUUUCUACUAAAAAUACCAAAAUUAGCCAGGCGUGGUGGUGCGCACCUGUAGUUCCAGCUACUCAAGAGUCUGAGGCAGAAGAAUCACUUGAACCCGGGAGGUGGAGGUUGUAGUGAACCAAGGUCGCACCACUGCACUCUAGCCUGGGUGACAGAGCGAGACCCUGUCUCAAAAGAAAAGAAGAUAUAAAAAGUCCAACAAACCAAUGAAAAAGAAUAAAAGCAUCCUAUAACAACACACUGCAGAGACAGCCACAGAUGUCAUAUUGUUAGACUCAUUUUCUGUGGAUGCUUAAGAACACUUUAAAAUGAACAGCCCUGUGACAAAUGCAUCCCCAUUACAGGAAGAAGUCCAUCCCUGAGGCAGGGUGAGGCACAGGGUCUGGAACGAGAGGGCUCCUGCUGCCUUGGAGGAGUCAGGGUCUGCUUACGUGGGCAUCAGGAGUCCUAAGCAGGGAGAAUAACUUCUGGCCUAAAUCACAGCCCCCGGCCCUCCCACCACAGGAGGAUGCUUCUGUAAAUUGUAUUCAGAAAAAAAAAAAAAAAAGCUCAUUUCAGUCAAAGACAAACCAUAAUAUAAAAGAGACUAAGAUAGAAGCUAUGAAAGAAAACAGGAGGAAAGGGACAGAGGGAAACGGCAAAUGAGAAAUGCAUGGGAGAAAAUAGGGUCUUUGGCAAGAGGACCAGUGUCACCAGGCUUUCAUUCAGUAAAGCAAAGCUUAAUGAGGCAUUUAUAAAACCACAGCUCAAGCAGAAAUAGCAGCAUGCAGAGAAGAUAGGGCAAGACAGCAGAGAUGAAAUGUAAGCUGGAUGAAAGAAGUGAACAAGCAGGAAGAAGAAGAGAAAGAUAAAGCUACUGAGAAAUACAAGCCGUGUUAAAGGAAGGACAAAGAAGAAUUAGCAUAUCUGAGAGCACAGGAAUUAUUAAGAAGAAAAGAGUUGAGAACAGCAAACAAAACAGCUGGGUGCAGUGGCUCAUGCCUGUAAUCCCGGCACGUUGGGGAGGCCAAGGUGGGCAGAUCACUUUGAGAUCAGCCUGGGCAACAUGCAAGAUCCUGUCUGUACAAAAGAAUACAAAAAAACUGGCCAGGCAUGGUGGUGCAUACCUGUAUGCACCAGGAGACUGAGGUGGGAGGAUCACCUAAGCCUGGGGAGGUUGAGGCUAUAGUGAGCUAUGACUGUACCACUGCACUUCAGCGUGGGUGACAAACAGACCCUGUCUCUCACUUUGUGAGUUUUCAUUUUUCCAUGGGCUAUUUGUAAAUUUUCUUUUUCUUUUUCAUUUAUUUAUUUAUUUAUUUUGAGGUAGAGUCUAACUCUGUCGCCUAGGCUGGAGUGUAAUGGCAUGAACAUGGCUUAAUUUAAAAAUGGGCAAAACAUGGAAAGACAGCUCUCCAAAGAAAAUGUACAAAGCACCCACCAGGGAAAAGCAAAUCAAAACCACAAUGAAAUUAUAUUUCAUACCCACUAGGAUGCCUAUAAUGAAACAGAGAGAGAGAGCUAAUACUAAGUGUUGGUCAGGAUGGGGAGAGAUUGGAACCUUGGGCGUUGCUGGUAAGAAUGUAAACUGGUGAAGCCACUCUGGAGGACAGUUUGGUUGAUACAGUGUUAAUCACGGAAUUGCUACAUGGCCCAGCAAAUUCCACUUCAAGGCAUGUAUCCGGGAGAAAUGAAAAUAUAUGUCCACACAAAAACUUUAUACAAAUGUUUAUACCAGCCUUAUUAUCAUCGCCAAAAAACGUAGAAAGAACACACAUUAUGGAUAAACAAACUGUGGUGUAUUCAUAUAAUGGAAUGUUAUUUAACAUAGAAACGAAUGAACUACUGAUACCUGCUACCACAUCUGUGAAACUUGAAAACGUGCUAAGUGAAAGAAGUCAGUCCAAAAGACCACAUAUUGUAUGAUUCCGUUUACAUAAAAUGUCCAGGGUAGGCAAAUCUGUGGAGACAGAAAGUACAGUACAUUAGUUGUUACCUAGGUUUGGGAGGCAGGUGAAGGUUGGGCAGAUGCGGAUACUGGGUUCUUUUCUGGUUGUUUUUUUUUUUUUUUUGAGAUGGAGUUUUGCUCUUUCACCCAGGCUAGAAUGCAAUGCUGCGAUCUCAGCUCACUGCAACCUCUGCCUUCCAGUUUCAAGCAAUUCUCCUGCCUCAGUCUCCUGAGUAGCUGCCACCAUGCCUGGCUAAUUUUUGUAUUUUUACUAGAGAUGGGGUUUCACCAUGUUGGUCAGGCUGGUCUCGAACUCCUGACCUCAUGAUCCGCCCACCUCAGCCUCCCAAAGUGCUGGGAUUGCAGACAUGAGCUACCAUGCCCGGCCUCAGAUUCUUUCUUGAAGUGAUAAAAAUGUUCUAAAAUUUUGAUGAUAGUUUGACAACUCUGUGGAUAUACCAAAAAGCAUUGGACUGUACAAUGCUUAAAUGGAUAAGUUUCAUGGUAUGUGAAUUAUAACUCAAUAAAGUUGUUACAGAGAAAAAGACCAUUUUAAGGUGGGUAAGAAUUUAGAGAAAAAUAAAUCCCACAGCAUCUUGUUACAGAAAUACUAGAUGAUAAACUUCAGCCAACCGAGAAAUGAACAGUAACGCUAUGGUAAACAGCCUGGCUGGCUGUAAACAUCGAAUCAAUUUAACUGUUGGACUACAUUUUUAAAAAAUGGUUUCAAAACAGUAAGUAUUCUAGAUUAUAAUCCAUUCAAUCAAAUAACAAUCUCUGGGUUCAUUCUGAUAUAUAUAAAUAGAGAAAGAAAGCUCUUCCUUAUAGUAAAACUUCAGCUAAUAAAUAUAACAGACUUAUGAAAAUAGAAAAUAGGCUGAGCGCAGUAGCUCGUGCCCAUAGUCCCAGCACUUCGGGAGGCCAAGGCUGGCAGAUCAGCUGAGGUCAGGAGUUUGAGACCAGCCUGGCCAACAUGGUGAAACCCUGUCUCUACUAAAAAUACAAAAAUUAAGGCCGGGCGUGGCGGCUCAUGCCUAUAAUCCCAGCACUUUGGGAGGCUGAGGCGGGUGGAUCACGAGGUCAAGAGAUUGAGACCAUUCUGGUCCACAAGGUGAAACCCCGUCUCUACUAAAAAUACAAAAAUUAGCUGGGCAUGGUGGUGUGUGCCUGUAGUCCCAGCUACUCGGGAGGCUGAGGCAGGAGAAUUGCUUGAACCCAGAAGGCGGAGGUUGCGGAGAGCCGAGAUCGCACCAUUGCACUCCAGUCUGGGUAACAACAGCAAAACUCUGUCUCAAAAAAAACAAAAAAAAAAAAUACAAAAAUUAGCUGGCGUGGUGGUGGGUGCCUGCAAUCACAGAUACUCGGGAGGCUGAGGCAGGAGAAUGACUUCAAUCCAGGAAGUGGAGGUUUCAGUGAGCCGAGAUCAUGCCACUGCACUCCAGCCUGGGCGACAGAGUGAGACUGUCACACACACACACACACACACACACACACACACACGAAAAUGUAAAGGAAAAGAAACUUCUAUAAUUAUCAACAGAGAAGAAGUUGUUGGCUCAGAGUUUUUGAAUAUGCUAUUACUCCCUCCUGAAUUGUCUCAUCUCACUUGUUUUUAAUGCAGAGUCUUGCUCUGUCACCCAGUCUGAAGUGCAGUGGUGCGAUCAUGCUUCACUGCAGCCUCAACCUCCCGGGAUCAAGUGAUCGUCACACCUCAGCCCCUCAAGUAGCUGGGACUGAAGGCAUUUACCACCACACCUGGCUAAUUUUUUUUAUUUGUUUUUUGUAGAGAUGGGGUCUCCCUAUGUUGCCCAGGCUUGUCUCAAACCCCUGGCCUCAAGCAAUCCUCCUGCCUCAGCCUCCCAAAGUGCUAGGAUUACAGAUGUGAUCCACCACACCCAGCCUCUCACUCCACAUUUUAAAAGGGUGGAUUCUCUUGUGCCAUUCAUGUCUUAGCCUAAAUAUCCUUAGGAGACAAUGCCCCUGGCCAUCCUUGUUUCUAUCAGUUUUCUUUGAGUCACUCAUAAGCAGCUGAUAUCAUACUAGGUAAUGACCUAUUGGCAGCUGAGAGGUGAGCACUUGAUAUGCUUGGCUUAUUGCUCCAUGAUGCCUCUUUUCCUUAAGGAUCUAAAAUGCCACCCAGGAGCACUCAUUGCAUUUAGUUGUCACAUUUUCUCCAUCUCCUGCAAUCCUUGGUACCUGGAAAAAUGGCUGGCACAUAGUAGGUACUCAUUAAACAUCUUUUAAUGGUUGAAAUGCUGAGAUUCAGAAGGAGCACAGAAAUUGGAAGGUGAAGCAUUCUGAUUCCUCUUUUAUAACCCUCAGCGUCAGCAGAUACAAUUUAAAGAGCAAACUGCUAAACACCAGCUGUCUUUUAUAACCAUUUGUGUAAGAAAAAGACUGAAAAGCCUAGGUGCCUUCCAUCUCAAUUAAAUGAAAUUAAUUAAAGGCUCGUGCCUGUAAUACCAGCACUUUGAGAGGCUGAGGUAGGAAGAUCGCUUGAGCCCAGGAGUUUGAGACCAGCCUGAUCAACACAGUGAGACGCCCCCAUCUCUAUUUUUUAAAUAUAAAUAAUAUAAAUUUAAAAAAUAAAAAAGAGAUGGAAAAGUAGGAGAAUGGGCUCCUCCUACAUGUGGGCCAUAAAAAUGCAGCAUAUCUCAACGCUUGUGGAUGGGACGCUCACAUCUUCACACGUAUAUUUUAGCCUCCAAGAAAACGCCUUGGCUGACCACAUCCCAUUUUAGGGCAGAAUAUCCCAGUUGUGAAUAUGCUCAAUUGCCAUAUGCAUAGAUCCUAGGGAGUCAGAGUGACAGGGUUCAGAUCUCAGCUCUACCAUAUAUUAGCUGCGUGAUCUUGAGGAAGUUACCCACGUCUCUUCCUCAGUUUGCUCAUCUGUAAAGUGGGAACAACGGUAGUACCUAUGGCACAGAGAUAUUGUGAUGUAAAUAAUAUCUAAGUGCCUAGAAAACAGUUCAUGGGCUGGGCACGGUGGCUCACACCAGUAAUCAACACUUAAGGAGGCCGCGGCUGGUGGGAUCACCUGGGGUCAGGAGUUCAAGACCAGCCUGGCCAACAUGGUGAAACCCCAUCUCUGCUAGAUACAAAAAAAAAUUAGCCAACAUGAUGGUGGGCACCUGUAAUCCCAGCUACUUGGGAGCCUGAGGCAGGAGAAUUGCUUGAACCUGUGAGGCGGAGGUUGCAGUGAGCAGAGUUAGCGAUAGCACUUUGGCGUGGGUGACAGAGCAAAACUUUGAUCUUGAAAAACAAAACAAAAGCGAAAGAAAACAGUGCAUGGUACGGCAUAAAUAAUGCGAUGAGUAUCAUGGAACAACGUGGAUCUUUUAGUUAAUCUCCGCCAAUCAAGCCACCACAGCUAUGAAGUAACUGACUUUCCAAUAUUAAAUCUACCCCAUUCUUUCCUCUAGCCUAGUCCCUGUAACCACAGAAUAAUCCCAGGACUUGCAAAUAUGUAUAUAUAAGGUCAUGUUCAAUAGAUCCUGUGAUCUUAGUUGGGGCAAAGCCUGCUCAAUGUUCACCCUCUUUUCCUCCUGCGCACAGAGCCAGGCAACCCUCCCAGCUUCCCCUGCAGUGGAGGGCGCUGUGGCUGAGUUCUGGACGAUGGGCUAUGAGCAGGCUGACGCUUGCUCCACCCCUUUCUACCCCUUGUAUCUCUAGCGGCUGCAGAAUGUCUGCAGGUACUAGGGGAGAACUCUGCGGGUACUCGGGGAUAGCAGAGUGUGGGGCUUUAUGUCAUGUCUUCCUCGGAGUGAACACAUUUAUGAAUGUUUCAGUAAAUGCCUUCUCGCUUGAAGUAAGGAGGUUAACCUUAUGAAUUUUCUUUUAAUACAAAGACUCGUGAGAAGAUGAAUGUUUCCUUUUUUUUUUGAGAUGUAGUCUUGCUCUGUUGCCCAGGCUGGAGUACAGUGGUAUGAUCUCUGCUGGGACUACAGGUGUGCGCCACCACACCCAGCUAAUUUUUGUAUUUUUAGUAGAGACAGGGUUUGCACCAUGUUUGCCAGGAUGGUCUCGAUUUCCUGACCCCUAGAUCCGCCCGCCUCAGCCUCCCAAAGUGUUGGGAUUACAGGCGUGAGCCACUGCACCCGGCCGAGUGUGGGUCUUUGAAUGAACCUGUAAUCCAAAAAAAAAAAAAAAAAAUUCUAAGCUCUUCCCCAAACCAUCUGAAUGGAUCCCUUCUCUCUGACAAAAGCACCCCAAGGUGAAUCUGCAAACACCAGUUCAGGCCAUGAUGGGAAGGCGGAGCCAGAUGUGCCUCAUCAUCCCCUCCUUCCUUUUGGAAUUACUGAUGAAACAGGUUCUUUCAGUCUGAUAAACACUUGCUCUCUAUUCUCUCUGCAGCCUGCCACCUGGAGGCUUCAUCCACCUGAUACCGCCUCAGUCUCCACAACCCCUUACUGUAACCCUAACCCAGACAUUCCUUCCUAUUGGUAAUAACACUUUCAACCAACUGCCAAUCCAAAGAUCUUUGCAUCCACUUGCAGCGCGGAAGCUCCUACUUCCAUUUGUUCAACCUUUCUGGACUGACUCAGUGUAUGUGUUCUGUGUAUUGAUUGAUGCCUUAUCUCUCCUUAAAAUGUAAAAAGCAAAAACAAAAAAUGUAGUUGUGGCCCGGCCACCUUGGGCACAUGUUCUGAGGAUCUCCUGAGGACUCUGUCAGUGAGCAUUGGUCACUCAUAUUUGGCUCGGAAGAGAUCUCUUCAAACAGUUUAGAGUUUGACUCUUUUCAUCAACUACCCCGUGGACGCACAUUGGGCUGUGAUCUGGGUUUAAGCCACUGAGUCUCGGGGCUUGUGUGCUACAGAGCACUUAGCUUGACCUGGCUGAGAACCGCAUGGUGGCAAAGGAAGGAGUUAAGGGAAAAAGAAUUGAGAGGAGGGGUUGGAGAGCAGGGAGGGGCAGCCUUGGACAAAGGGAAGUUCAGACUGAUUGAAACAGCACCAGCACAGAGAUCCCAAAGACACAGAAGAAAUCUUUGCAACAGCCAAGUUCAGAUAACUGUGCUUGGAGGAUUGGAGAGGAGCACGGAGAUGUGAAAGGGAAAAUAAAAAGGCGCUAGGGUUGGAAAACGUGUGAGCAUUUGAGCUGAUGGAGACGGGCUGAAAGUCAGCUGCACAAACCACUCCAGUUCAACAAUAGGUGUUGAGCAGACCUAGCUGGAGGGCAGCGUUGUCUUCUAUCAGUGAAUGCCUGGCUGGGAAGCCAUAAUAAUGCAGGCAGCUCCAACAAGACUGAAGCUGAAAGCCAUGGAACCCGCCAGCACAGGUUACCCAGGGUGUAGACUGCAGCCGGUCCUCCGAGCCUGUUAGGAACCAGGCUGCACAGCAGAAGGUCUGUCCUAUACAUCAUCCUGUUCCGGAGAUACACAGCACAAUGGCCUGGAAACAGCCUUUGUGUUGGAGCCAAGCCCAGCAGAGUCUCGAUUCCUUCUCCCUCAGUCACUCUCUGGAUGAACAAGAGCAAGUCAUUGACCCCUCUGGGCCUCAGUUUCUUCACCCAUAAAGUGGAGUUUUCUUUCUCGGCCUUCACUGGCUUGGACCUUGUCUUCGACGCUGAUUGGACAAACGGCUUCAGGAAAGCAGAUAAAGGGUAAUCAGCUCUCCCUGGUGAGUCAUUAUUCUAAGGUCCAGGUGUUUUGGCUUGCUUGUUUGUUUGUUGAGAUUAAGAUCAUCUCACUUAUAUCCAAGUUUAUAAAUGGAUGCUAUUUUGAGGAUGCCAUUUUUACGUUUGAAAGGCACACUCUCACUUCUGGCUGUUGGUCUGAAGGCAGAGCCGCAGCACUAACGGAGAUAAAGGAAAGGUAAAUGCUUCUUCUUCAGUUCCCAGAGAUCAUAAAAAUUGUCGAUGCCGACUGAUCUAGCUCUGUGGUUCUAGCGACUUUUCUGUCUCUAGGUUUUGCCAAUUUCAGCUGAGAUUUGCACCUUACAAAACAAGGAACGAGCAGUGUGGGGGCAAAAGAAGAGUCUCCGAGACUCACAUCCUCUUUUGCAUGGGGGCAGAGUAAGAAUUCCAAGACUAUGUUUUGUUUAAUUAAACUAUUUAUUUAUUUGUUUAAGGCAAGGCUUGCCCUGUGUAGCUGGGACUGCAGGUGUGUGCCGCCGUGACCGGCUACAUUUUUUCUUUCCUGUUUUAGAGACAGGGUCUUGCUAUGUUGGCCAGAUUGCUCUUGAAUUCCUAACUUCAAAUGCUCCUCCCUCCUUGGCCUCCCAAAUUGCUGGGGUUACAGGCAUGAGCAGGUCCCAAAACUAGUUUAAGUGCUCACUGACUUUCCGUAGUGAUCAUUUGCCUGAGACUCUUUUCUGAUUAGGAAAAUCAUCUGCCUUCCCUGGUGAUUCAUUCUUCUAGGGUCCAGGUGUUUUGGCUUGCUUGUUUGUUGAGAUUAAGAUAAUCUCAUUUAUAUCCAAGUUUAUAAAUGGAUCCUAUUCUGAGGACGCCAUUUUUCGUUUGAAAGGCCCCUCUCACUACUGGCUGUCGGUCUGAAGGCAGAGCCACAGCACAAAAAAAGAUAAAGGAAAGGUAAAUACUUCUUCUUCAGUUCCCUUCUUCUGGCCCCUGUCUCCUGAAUGGCAUUGUCAGUUAGGGAUAGGAUCUCAGGAGCUGUGCUUUUGUCCUUAAAGGAGCCAUUAGCAAGUGGCAUCAGCUGAGGGCUGUGAUUGGCCCUUCUCUUCUGGGUAUCCUGUCUGUGAUUGUCACUAAUGCAAGUUCAUUAGAUAUUUCAUUAGCUGAGCCAAAAACCUAUAUCCUGAUCUUUAGCUGAAAACAUCUCCGAAUUAGAUUUGGAAAAUUGGAAGAAUACUCAUUCGCCGGUGGCAAUUAAUGAGUCAUGACUAACGAAGGCAGGGAGACGAGGGCAGCAGAGAGGCUCUCCUUCCGUGCCGCUGAUGGGUAAAUGGAAGAGGAAAUUACACUGCAUUUCGUGAGUUCACUGGACCAUGAAGCUGUCACUGCCUGGAGCCACCAGACUUCCUGACCCAGUUCCUGGGCUUUUCAGUACUUCCUUCUUUUCAGAACCCAACGGGCAGAACACAGAGUCUGGGUAGCAGGAGGUCAGUUCUCAAGGCGGGUACUCCUGGCCUUCAGGUGCUGGUAUCAUUGGCGAUGUACCACAUACCACCAGAUCCUCUUAUUUUCUUUUAGGUAUAGAGGAGACGACCUUGGAAGCUAUUGCCUUCAACCUUCACUUCCUACACCAGUGAAACUGAGGCUCAGAAGAGUCAGGCAACUUGUUCCUGGACGCAUUGAGUAGGUCUGAUCAGCCGCGCCAGCCGACCUUGCCACUAGCCUCGUGCCUGCUGUGUCUCAACUUUGACCUCCUCCUCCUCUGAGACGAGAGACAGGAAAGAGAGGCCUCAUCCCUCAGUAACACUGACAGCACCUGAAGGCCCACUGUGUGCUGCUUUGAAAUCCGCCUCAUCUCCGGGUGAUGAGACAAGCUCUGAAGAGACUCUGCGAGACCGGCUCUUCUGUAAGUGGACUGCGGCUUAUUUAUAGUCAUUCCGCACGUGUGCUAACGAGCCGUGGGGCCCGGCAGACACCACUUAACUUUCUACGGCGCUUGGUUUUCUCAUCUGUAAAAUCACAAGGUUGGACAAGUUAAAUUUCAGAACUGUUCAACGAAAACAUUCUCUGCUCUCAUGACACUUCGGGUUAAAAUAGGACGUUCUUUUGACUUCUCAGUAAUCUGACUGUCCUUCUUCCCCAUUGCUUCUGAAUGAGGAUUUUUUUUCGUCUGCUCUAACUUAACCAAAACAUGAGCACAGCUGACGAUUUUGUGAAGGGGUUGCGGGACGCGCGGGAAGGAACCAUGACUUUGCUCCCUCCCCAUCAGGUGUUUUCCUUUCAGGCCCUUGAUCUCUCUCUCACCCAGGAAUGGGGAGGGGAUCCCAGCGUCGCGGUGAGCUCGUGUAAGUAAAUAUGGGACCCAAAGAACUUUGCAGAAAAGGGUUUAUUUAGGCAGAGAGAGAAAGAGAAGUAGAGAGGGACGGAGAAAAGCCAGCUCCCCCGCUGCUGUGGGAGGAGAGCCCGGAAGCGGAAAGCCGCCGCGCACGUGAGGGGCGGGAGGUCUUUUAAUCUGGCAUUUACUCCCGCCCCAUUCAAGUUCUCGUCCUAUGAGGAGAGUUUCUUUAAACUUCCGUUGGACUGACUGAUCUUCGAUUCUGACACCUGAUUGGCUGUUUGGCUCGGAGUCUGCCCAUAGCUUUCGGCGGGCUUUUCUACUGGGUGAGGCUCACCUGGCCGGUCUACCCUCCCCGGCGGGCGAAAGUUAGACAAAGACCUCUCCGCUCCCGGUUGGAGACGGGAAGGAAGGCAGGUCAGGCGCGUCGCGGGGAAGUUCUUGCCUUUGAAACCACGCCCCUGUGGGCCCGACUUCCUGCUUGGACAGUGUAUUUGAUCACUUGUCGUGUUGCUGCAGUAAUCUCAGGUCUGGGAGGGAGAUGAACAUAUGAGUCAGUGGAGUGGGAGAGGCAGACCCACCCUCAACCUCGGAGGGCACCAUCCAGUCAGCGGUCGGCGCGGCCAGAAUAAAAGCGGGCACAGUUAUGUGGAAGGACUAUGCUUGUCUAGUCUUCUGGCCUACGUCUUUCUCCUGCCCUUGACCACUGCAUCCCACGUUCUUCAGCUUUAGGCUUUGGACUGGCUUCCGUGCUCCUCAGCUUGCAGACAGCCUAUGGCGGGACGUCGCCUUGUGAUCAUGUGUGGCGGUGUAUACCUGUAGUCCCAGCUACUUGGGAGGCUGAGGUGGGAGGAUCAUUUGAGCCCAGGAGUUCGAGGCUGCAGUCAGCUAUGAUCCUGUCACUGCACUCCAGCCUGUGCAGCACGGCUGGAGUGCAAUGGUGUGAUCUCAGCUCACUGCAACCUUCACCUCUCAGGUUCAAGCGAUUCUCCUGCCUCAGCCUGAGUAGCUGGGAUUACAGUGCAUCCAGAGUACGUGACACUUCCUGCUCACCAAAUUCAACGAUCACUAUGUCAUGAUAUAGCAGACCACUGUGAUGUUAUGUGGAAUGUCAGGAGGGACCAAGGUCCCCGUGGAAAACGUUAUCACAAAGAGUAGUUGUGAAGGGCCUUCGUGACUUGGACUCAUGACAAACAACUCGUUACAAAAAAAAACAAGGAUCCCAGACCGCACCGAAGCCUCAUGAGACCUCUCCUUGUCUGUGCACGGAUUGGUGGCCAACUCUGGAGCCCACACGGUUGCUUCCUGGUCGAUGAUGAGUCCUCCAUAGUCUGAGCCGAUAUCCAAAUUGAUUCUGCCUACUUCAGUCUCGAUGUGUGAAAACGCUGACAGACAGAAACACCUAAGGAUGCUUCAGCUGGGUCUCUGUUGCUGAUAACUGACAGUCUGUCUCCUCCACCAUGCAGUCAGCGUCCAGACUCCCGUCGAGCCCUACAUAACAAACAAGCUCACCUCACUACAGAGACCAACAGAGUUGGACGAGGGGACUGUCUACAGUAGCAUGCUUGACCAUCUGGGUCCAAGGGGAACCAGAAGGUGGUUAAACCAUCCGCCGGAGAUGAGCAAAGCCAAGGUGAGCUUGUUUGGCACCAAUUCUGUAACUACAGAGCAGUGGACACAAUAGCUAAAGCAGAAUGUGCCAAGAGGGUGGAGGGGGGCUAGCAGUGUUUGAAUUGUGUCCCCCAAAAAAUGUUGUAUUGAGAUCCCAACUCCCACCAAAUUUGAAAAUGAACCCUAUUGGAAAUAGAUUCUCGGUGCCACAGAGAAAAGUCAGCACUGAGACAAUCUUUCAGCAACGCAAUUUUUACUUCCUGGGCUGCGGGAAGGGUACUCCUGUUAGCCCUUGUGCCAUGAGUGUACAAAGAACAAAGGGAAAUACACAAAUUUAUCCCUUACACAUUUGGGGUCGUCCUUACUGCUGUAUCUGAUCACCGUUGGUUGGAGCCAGACCCCACAGUCUAAACUAAAACCCAUUGCCUAACAAGUUAAAACUUUUCUAAACAGGUAAAAGCAACGGAGAGCUGGGACACGCCUGUGAGCACAUCUAGCACAGACAUCUUGGUUAAAGUACAAGGACGUAGGAUGUACUAUGUGCCUGUAAGCAUGGCGUGCCUAACAGCUACAUAGGAUGGGGCUUAACAAAGUUAUUAGCAUACUUACUCUUUAACGAGAAAGGAAAUUUUAAAAAGGAACUUUUCAACUUCCCACAAAAUCCUCGAGCUGAAGGGAUCAGUGAAGGUUUGUUUAUUCCUAAAUGACCAGUGAGGUCUGCAGCCAAGUUGCCAUAAAGUGAGGAAUGAAGGAAGCACAGACGAGGCUGCAUCAGGAUGUUAAGGAAAUUUAAAUCAUGUCUGGGCUUCAGGAAACCUGGAGUGCGCCUAAGAGAAGGAAAUACUGCUUGGAUGGUAUUAUGGGGCAAUGACAAGAAAACGGACUCUAACUUUUCUGUAGUUCUUUACUGCCUUAAAAAAAAAAGUCAUGUCCUUCUGUCCUAUCCCUGAUGAGUUGAGAGCAAAAUGAUGGUUACCCUGUUUUCUCUACAAAUAGAUGAUUCAGCUGGAUCUCCGUUACUGACGACAAGCUCCCAGUGCCUAUGAAGGGGACCUUAUUUUGAGGUAGGGUCUUUAAUCAAGGUACAAUAAAGUCACACAGUCUGGAGACAGAAAAAUACAACACAUAGGGUGGGGUGCAGUGGGUUGUACCUCUCAUCCCAUUGCUGUGGGAGGAUCACUUGAGCCCAGAAGUUCGAGGCUGCUGUGAGUUGUUAUAAUGGCACCACUGUGCAUGGGCAACAGAGCAAGAACCUGUCCUUCCAAAAUAGCAAAGAGGGGAGGGAAAGGGAGUGGAGCAGCAAAGCAAUCACCUGUCCCUCCAAAAAAGGAAAGAGAGAAGGGAGGGGGAGGAAAAGUAAGUAAAUGAGGGUUGUAGAACCAGAAGAGGCUAGAGAAGUGACGGUAACUGAGUCAGAGCCAGAUGGAUAUGCUGGAGUUCACAUGGUGGAAAGAUGAGGAGACAGCCCAUUCCUGUGAGUAGCCAAGGUCUGCUUGGAAUAAAGGACAUGUGCCUGGCUUCCGUGCUCACAAUGAUCCUGAAGUGAUUGAUUGGUAGGAGCUCUUGAAACACUGUGCGGAAUCUAUUAUCAGGUAAAGCGCACCUGGGAGGAUCUGUCCUGGAACAGGUACUCCCCAGGGAGUCUGCGCCUGCCACUCAUCAUCCAUGCCUCCCAAAAAUCCUCAUUGCAUCACACAAGGGUGGGUUGCAGCUGUGGCAACGUCCUGUGUGUUUCUAGCCACUCGGUUCAUUCUGCGGGGACCUAUUAUAGACAGCACUGUAUUCCCCUCCAAAUUCAUAUAUUGAAGCCAUAACCCCUCGUGAACUACAUUUGGAGACCGGGCCUUUGAAGGAGGGGAUUAAGCUUAAAUGAGACUGGGCAUGGUGGUUUACACCUAUAAUCCCACCACUGUGGGAGCCAGGUGGAUCACUUGAGGUCAGGGGUUCAAGACCAGCCUGGCCAACAGGACAAAACCCCGUCUCCACUAAAAAAACACAAAUUAGCCAGGUUUGAUAGCAGGCUUCUAUAAUCCCAGCUACUUAGGAGACUUCUUAGAUCCCAGGAAGUUGCAGUGAGCUGAGAUUGCACCACUGUACUUCAGCCUGGACAACAGAAUGAGACUCUCUCUCAAAAAAAAAAACAAAAUCAGGCCAUAAGAGUUGAGGCCCUCACCCAAUACGACUGGUGUCCUCAUAAGAUGUGAAAAGCUUACCUUUCAGAUGUCCAUGAAGCCCACCCCACUACAAAGACCAACAGUUGGACCAGGGAACUGUUUGGAGAUCCAUACAAGACCACCUAGAACCACAGAGAGCCAGACAGUGGGUAAAACAAUCCUCAAGGCACUGGCCAGAGAUGAGCAGAGUCAAGGUGAGCUCAUUUGGCACCAAUUAGAAGAGGGCACAGUAGCUUGGGCAGAAUGUGUCAAGAGGUGGGAGGCCAUUGUUCACUGAACAAUUGGAAAGGGAAGACCCCCUAGAAGUUACCAGAAGGAUGCAUGCACAGAGAAAAGGCCACAGGAUGAUACGGAGAGAAACUUCACCAGAAAUCCACCCUCCCAUCACCUUGAUCUUGAACUUCCAGCCUUCAGAACUGUGAGAAGAUACAGUCCUGUUGUUUAAGCCAGCCAGCCAGUAGGUACCCAAGCAGACUAUGACAGACCCUAACUCUCAGCUGGUGCUGAACCUAAUCGCUGUCUCAAGUCUGCCAAAAACUCCACUGUGAUUUUCAGAGGCUUUCUGCCUGGGAUGUUAGCCCCCCACCCUGCAAAGUCCCAAAAUUUGGUAAAUUUCCUGAGACAAAAACUGGCUAUUUGAGUCCCCGAGUCCCUUUUCAAAUCUCAGCUACCUCUGUCCACUCCUUUCCCUCAAAAAAAAAAAAAAAAGCAUUCUCUGCUAGAUGAACUGGGUCCACUAAAACCCAUAGGUUGAAGUUCUAACCACCUCUACCUCAUAAUGGGACUGUAUUUCAAGAUAGGACGUUUAAAGAGGUAAGUAAUUAGGUUCAACUGAGGUCAUUAGAGGGGGCCCUAAUCCACUAUGACUGGUGUCCUUAUGAGAAAAGUAGAUUAGGGGGCUGGGGGCAGUGGCUCACACCUGUAAUUCCAGCACUCUGGGAGGCCAAGGCAGGCAGAUCAUUUGAGGUCAGAAGUUCGAGACCAACGUGGUGAAACCCCACCUCUACUAAAAAUACAAAAAUUAGCCAGGCGUGGUGGUGCAUGCCUGUAUUCUCACCUACUCAGGAGGUUGAAGCAAGAGAAUUGCCUGAGUUCAGGAGACAGAGUGAGCUGAGAUCACAUCGCUGUACUCCAGCCUGGCCAACAGAGCAAGACUCUGUCUAGAAAAAAAAGAGGUUAGGACACACACACACACACAACACAGAAGGGAAGAAGGGAGACCAUAUGAGGUCAAGGGAGAGGAUGCUUAUCUACCAGUCAUUGGUCAUCUGGCUCAUGCCAGUAGUCCCAGCUACUUGGGAGGCUGAGACAGGAAAUUCGCUUGAACCUGGGAGGCAGAGGUUGUAGUGAGCCGAGAUUGCGCCAUUGCACUCCAGCCUGGAUGACAGAGACUCCAUCCUAAGAAAAAUAAAGGAGGCCAGGAAGGAGAUCUUGCUGUUGAGGGAUCACAUUGUGAGCUGAGUGGGAGCGUGUGGGAUCCUCCAUUUUCACACCAUGAACGUCCCAAUAUUGGUUUUGGCUCAAGUUCAGUACCUUUGCGCCUUGUCUCUCAUUCUUGCUGUUUUAUUUUUUAUCAUGUCUAAAAUUAUUACAGUGUGCCAGAUUCAGUCAGCUGCCUACCAGAUUCCCUUAAAAGUGUAUAACGUAGUUAAAACCAUUGCUUUUAAAAAGCUCCUUUAAAACAUGACAUUAGUCGUAAUAUUAAGAUAAACGAUUGAGUUAUCCCCAAUGUAGGUGUUACCCUUUGACUUAAAUUCCAACUUGAGUAAACUAGGCAAGGAACAUUAAAAGCACAAUGGCUUUUAGGACCCACCGGGUAAUGCUAGAAUUUGUGGCAUGCUAAACACGAGCAGAACAUAUGCCAGAGAGUCCUGGUUAAUCACAUUUGGGGCCCAAUUAAACUUUUCCGACUUGCUCCUGCUUCUACCUGGGCCUCAGUGAAGAGAGCACAGCAGGUGAAAUUGCCUUAGGCAGAAGGAAACUUCCACUCAGGCUGCUAAGGACAGGUUCAGCUGCUCAUUAACUGGGCUCUUUGCAGAGACGGAAGGACAAGGAAGCACAGGGCCAGAGCAAAGCCAGGGAUAGGGGACAUACAUCCCCAGAUGCUGCUCUCUCCUCUGCUUCCCAGGAACCAGAACUUUACCCCAGAACUAACUUACCUGUGACUGGUGGCAAAGGUCUCACACCUGGAAGGACCGACAAGCUGUGGGAUGAAGGUACCAGGACAAGAACGAGCUUGAGACCUUUUAGGGGUUACACUGUCCUUCUGCGAUCAUUGUUAAGGUCAGUUGCCACUAGACCACAGAUCCACAGAUGUGUGAUAAUUCACAAUACACAGCAUCCUGUUUUUUGAAGACAGCGUCUCACUCUGUUGCCCAGGCUAGAGUGCAGUGGUGCGAUCUCAGCUCACUGCAACCUCUGCCUCCCGAGGAGCUGGGACUAUAGGUGCACUGCCAUGCUCGGCUGAUUUUUUGUAUUUUAGUAGAGACAGGGUUUGACCAUGUUGCCCAGGCUGGUCUCGAACUCCUGAGCUCAGGCAAUCCACCCACCUUGGCCUCCCAAAGUGCUGGGAUUAUAGGUGUGAACCACUGUGCCCGGCCCCUUUUUCAAAUGUAUUGAGAAGGACAUCCAGAUCAUUGAUCUCAGUCUUCCCAAAACGACUGUCCAUCCUCAAAGGAUCUGGGGACCAGGCCUGGGCUCAUACCUGUAAUCCCAGCACUUUGGGAGGCCAGAGCAGAAGGAUCACUUGAGCCCAGUACUUCAAGACCAGCCUGGGCAACAUGGUGAGACCCCCAUCUCUAUAAACAACAACAAAUCAGCCUGGAGCAGUGGUAUAUGCACCUGAAUAGUCCUAGCUACUCUGAAGGCUGAGGUGAGGUCAUCACUCGAGCCCAGUAGUUCAAGGCUGCAGUGAGCUAUGACUGCACCACUGCACUCCAGCCUGGGUGACAGAGCAAGACACUGUCUCUAAAAAUAAAAAUUAUAAAUUUACAACUGUUUCUAAAAAAGGAUCUUGGAAAGAAUUGCUUGAUGCUGCUUCUCUUUGAGGAAGUGAUUCCUUUGGUCAACCUGACGUGCCUUUCAGGUUCUUUGCUGUGAUGGGGGUAACUGAACGUGCCUUGGAGGAGCAGGAGGCCGGGGAUGGUGGCUCAUGCCCGUAAUCCCAGCACUUUGGGGGGCUGAGGCAGGAGACUCGCUUGAACCCGAGACGGGGAAGUUGCAGUGAGCCAAGACUGUCCCAGUGUAUUCCAGCCUGGGCAACAGAGCAAGACUCAGUCUCAAAAAAAAAAAAAAAAAAACUUAAGAAUUCUAGAUAGCAAGAAAUAAUAGGGUAGAAUGAUACAGGGAACCAAAGAGACAAUGUGAGCCUCCUUUAGGGAUGGCGGUCAGAGGAAGUAACAUCUGAACUAAGAUCUAAGAUAAGGAAAAGUAGUAGUCACUAAAAAACAAAAUGACAGCCUGGUGCAGCGGCUCACACCUGUAAUCCCAGUACAUUGGGAGGCUGAGACAGGAGGAUUGCUUGAGGCCAGGAGUUCAAGACCAGCCUGGGCAAUAUAGUGAAACCCCUUUCUACCAAAAAAUACAAAAAUCAGCCAGGCAUGGUCGUGGACACCUGUGGUCCCAGCUACUCGGGAGGCUGAGGUGGGAGAAUCGCUUGAGCCUGGGAGGCAGCGGCUGCACUGAGCCGUGAUUGCACCAUAGCACUCCAGCCUGGGCAGCAGAGUGAGGACUGUCUGAAAAAUAAUAAGAAAAUGACAGCUAGGUGCAGUGGCUCACACCUGCCAUCCCAGUGCUUUGGAAAGCAGAGGCAAGAGUAUCUCUUAAGACUAAGACUUAGAGACCAGCCUGGGCAACAUAAUGAGACCCCCUUCUCUACAAAAAUAAUAAAAAUAAGCCUGGCAUGGUGGUGUGUACCUGUAUGUAGUCCCAGCUACUCAGGAGGCUAAGGCAGAAGGAUCACUUGAGCCCAGGAGUUUGAGGCUGCAAUAGGGUAUGAUGCACCACUGCACUCCAGCCUGGAUGACAGUGACAGCUUGUCUCUAAAAAAACAAAGAGAGAAGAUUACUAAUUUGAAUCCAUGUGUAUGGAAAAGAGGACAGCAUGUUCAAGGUACAUAAAGGAAGCUCAAAAGCCCAAGUGUCUGGAGCAAGUGAUGAGAGAAAGAAGAGGGAACCUGCCCUCUGAGGGGAACUCCCAGGUCUACAGGCUGGGCGAGCGCUGUGAAAUUAUGUUGUAAGUGCAUCGAGAAGCCACCUAACAGUUUUUUGUUUUUCUUCCUGAGAUGGAGUCUCAUUCUGUCGCCCAGGCUGGAAUACAGUGGUAAAAUCUCAGCUCACUACACCCUCUGCCUCCUGGUUCCAAACAAUUCUCCUGCCUCAAUCUCCCAAACAGCUGGGACUACAGGUGUCCACCACCACACCCAGCUAAUUUUUGUAUUUUUAUUAGAGACGGGGUUUCACCAUGUUGGCCAGGCUGGUCUCAAACUCCUGACCUCAAGGGAUCUGCCUGCAUCGGCCUCCCAAAGUGCUGGGAUGACAGGUGUUAGCCACUGCACCUGACCCCAAAAGUUUGUCUUUAAACCAGGGGUCACUCACCAGAUACUGACUCUUCACGGAAACCGGUUUCCCGGGAUCUCCUGCAGAAAUACUCAAAACUUUAGCUUGUAGCCAUGUGCUAGCUAAAGGAUGCAGUUGAAUCGGCCCCCAGCUCCGGGCCUGCUGAAUUGAAUGUGUCUCCUGAUAGGUCCUGGUUCCCUCCCCAUCCUUCACUGUAUUUUCAGAUUGGACAACUUUGCCACCAUCCUCUCUUACUGCAAGAGGACAUUGGCUUUUCUCUCUGCCCACAACCUUCACCAGCGUCAAAAAGGAAAUUUUUGAAGUUUCCUUUCUUGUUAAAUAAGCCACGGGCUAAUGUCUGAACCCCAUGGAAAAAGAGAGCAACUGGAGACAGAAGCCGAAAAGAAGGCGCUUCUCACUGGCUCCCCUCUGCCGUGCCCCAGGGCUGUGUGCUCAGAACAGUUGGUUCUGUUUGAAGCCAGCGGACUCUGCCUAAACAUCCCGACGACAGGAGCUCCCUAAAGCAUUGCGCUGUUUCCAACUGAGGAGUGUGGAGGAGGUUAAAGAAUGGACCAUCUAAUUGGAGGAAAACAAGCUCAGGGCUCCCACUGAUUCUGCAUUACGACUAUGAAGAGUGCAGACUCACCCCUUAUCUCCACCAAAGUCUAACCACCAGGGAAGAGACAGAAGGAACUGCAAAUGGGAGCAAACAAUCCACUUUAUUAAAGUGCCCAAUAACUGCCAAAGUACAAGACAAAGUUGAAACUGAGACAUGACUUAGAUAUGAGGCUACAGUAGAGGCAUCCUGUCAGUGCCUGUAUGGACUUGUAUUUCCCCAAAGAAGAACCUGGGUCUGGGUAUCUUAUUUGCAAGAAAUUCUCAGGGAUCAGUGGUGGGCAGCCAGAUAGAGUGAGGGAAGGGGAAGAAACCCACGUUGGAUGCAUAAUUGAGUCCACUGCUGUCAGCGUCUGGGGCUCUCGAAAUAGUCCACCCAAGAUCAGCCUUAAGCUGCAACCACUGGCUUCCAAAGCUGUUGGUUGGGUGGAUCCCCACCUCCAGGCUAGUCGUACUUGCUGAUCAGUGACUUCCACCAACAUCAGGAGUGUCAGAGAAAUACGAAGGGUAGAACACAGAAGAUCACCGUGGGUACAUAAGGGAAGUGGUCAUAGGGUCAAGGUAGGUAGAAGCCAACUCAAACUUACCACUGCAGCUGUGGCUAAAACUGAAUGGGAGGACAAGGGAACGCAAAUGAAACCUAGAUGUGUGUGAUACACCUGCCACAAGUGUGUGAGGUCCACUGCAGGGGUGCGCUGGGUCCAUUCAUUUGGCUGACACCAAAGAUGGCAGCCCCCUCUAUCAAUGCAAGCCCCAGCAACACACAAACCACCAGCUCGAAUACGCAGCUCUCCUUCAGGGGCAACCUCAGGUCCUAAUCCAAGGCACAGAUGCACGAAGCCACCGUGAACUACAGCUUCUCUUACCGAUGAGGCGCAAAUGGGCAAAAGAAGGACUGAAAUAAUUUCCUGCUUCUGAGCCAAAAUCCUAUUGAUGCGUUGGGGUAAUGCUUGCCCAUGUAAACUUUUCUAAUCUUAGCAGCUUAAUACAAUAACUGUCUGAAACUGUGAGCUCCAACCUGGCUUCCCUAUAGCCAUUCAGAGACCAAAUACCUCCCACGUUCUGGUUCUGCUGUUGUCAAGAUGUUUAUCAGCAUGAAGAAGGAAAAGGCAGGUAGGAUUCCACAUGCAAAGGUUCUAUGGGACAGAAAUGAAAGUGGUUCCUGGCACUUCUGCCCACUUAUCAUCAGCUGAACUCAGUCACUUGGCAGCAGUUAACUCCAAGAAAGGCCAGAAACAGGCUGAGGUUGUGUAUCUAGGGAUAAGAUGAAACGUGUUUAAUGAACACCUAGGCCAUCUCUGCCAUAAAUUCCUCCUUUUCAUAACACAUAACCCAAAAAAUAAACAGCUUUCAUCAAUAUGGCUGAUAUGGUUUGGCUGUGUUCUCACCUA
This is a non-coding RNA of Callithrix jacchus (white-tufted-ear marmoset), 20401 nucleotides long. The record is from RefSeq and is a predicted model, not a curated record. NCBI's taxonomy places the organism in Eukaryota, Metazoa, Chordata, Mammalia, Primates, Cebidae.